ACAGACCAAGUCUUUCCUGCAGCGAUGCCUGCCUCAGACUCCAUCUGGGAUCUAUUAUUUCCUGGAGCUAGGAAUCCUGGGGAAUAGAUGCUGUUCCCUAUAGACCUGCCUACAGAGAUACCAUGUUACAUCAGAAGGGGCCUGUCCAUUGGAGCAGCUUCCCUUCUCCCACACAGCUGCAGAGGGAACUAGUGUACCUAGAUCCAAGAGCAUCAUGGGGCAGACAGGAAUCUGGCUUCACCUGAGAUCAAGAUCCUCAAAGACUAAGGGAACACCCACCUCAUGUUGUCGCCAGAGAUGGUGUGGAGCUGCUAGCAAACAGGAUAUGAUUUCUACGCUUCAGUGGACCCAGAUUCUGCCCCAGCCUUAUAAUCAUCUAAAAUGACAAAGGCUGAGUCUACAGCUACAAAAGGAGUCAUCUGAUCAAUAGUAGGGUACAGAGGAGCUUGAAGCUUCCUUUCUAUCCUCUCACCUCUGGGGAGAUUUAACAUUAUCCCCCUGGAGCCAUUUCCCCAUCUUCCCAGUGAGCAAAAAUUCAGUUUACUCUGUUUUGGUAAAAUUUAACAGUCAACACUACAUUUCUCAUCACCCCAGCAUCCAGAGUACCAACCAGGACACAGUUGGAACUCCUCAAAUAAGACUACUUUGGAUUGAGAUUCUGAAAAAGCUGACAGGUUCAGCUAUAAUUUUUGUCAUUUGUUCUUCCUCUUGUUCCUGACUGGAAGGAAGAAUUGAUUGAUGGAAAUUUAAGAACUGUUUUGUGACCAUGAGAAUGAAUGCCAUCUGCUGUAAAUGUACAAAGGCUCCCUUUGGCAGGUUUGAGCUGUGCCACACAGCCAUAAACCGCCUUCCUCCUGAAAAUUAGAAUUCCUGCUUGUUGCAGUUGCUGUUUAUGUUGGAGGAGGUGAAGAUUAGGGUAUAAUCUGUUAUUUGCAGAUAAGCACAACUAUAAACUACAGCCCUUUCCCUGCAAAGGCUUCCUUACCUUCAACUUGGGCUCUAUGCUCACUAAAGAGCUCGCCACUCUAUACUGUAAGAGCCAAUCAUCCAUACGCAUUCCCACCCGGCUGUAGGCUGAGUCUACAGCAACUACACAUCCUGUGAGAGUUCUGUUGCAUCCUCAAAGGUAGCACUCUUUCUGGUAAUUCUGGCUUCUCUCACUGAUUUCCUUGAAACCACAAAUAAAAAACUUUGCACUCUGA
This is a long non-coding RNA of Rattus norvegicus (Norway rat), 1202 nucleotides long. RefSeq lists it as uncharacterized. Lineage: Eukaryota; Metazoa; Chordata; Mammalia; Rodentia; Muridae. The record is from RefSeq and is a predicted model, not a curated record.